This 804-nucleotide ribosomal RNA is filed under the name uncultured bacterium. RNAcentral's name for it is "bacterial SSU rRNA". It matches the Rfam family "Bacterial small subunit ribosomal RNA", at positions 103 to 922 of the family's 1533-position model. The record is from RNAcentral.
CGGGUGAGUAACACGUGAGGAACCUGCCCCGAAGACCGGGAUAACGACCGGAAACGGUCGCUAAUACCGGAUGUCCCCACCGGAUCGCAUGGUCUGGUGAGGAAAUGGAUUCCGCUUCGGGAGGGCCUCGCGGCCUAUCAGCUUGUUGGCGGGGUAACGGCCCACCAAGGCGUCGACGGGUAGCUGGUCUGAGAGGACGACCAGCCACACUGGGACUGAGACACGGCCCAGACUCCUACGGGAGGCAGCAGUGGGGAAUCUUGCGCAAUGGGCGAAAGCCUGACGCAGCAACGCCGCGUGCGGGAUGAAGGCCUUCGGGUUGUAAACCGCUUUCAGCAGGAACGAAAUUGACGGUACCUGCAGAAGAAGCACCGGCCAACUACGUGCCAGCAGCCGCGGUAAUACGUAGGGUGCAAGCGUUGUCCGGAUUUAUUGGGCGUAAAGAGCUCGUAGGCGGCUUGGCAAGUCGGGUGUGAAAACCUCAGGCUCAACCUGGGGCUGCCACUCGAUACUGCUAUGGCUUGAGUCUGGUAGGGGAUCACGGAAUUCCUGGUGUAGCGGUGAAAUGCGCAGAUAUCAGGAGGAACACCGGUGGCGAAGGCGGUGAUCUGGGCCAGUACUGACGCUGAGGAGCGAAAGCGUGGGUAGCAAACAGGAUUAGAUACCCUGGUAGUCCACGCCGUAAACGUUGGGUACUAGGUGUGGGACCUUAUCAACGGGUUCCGUGCCGCAGCUAACGCAUUAAGUACCCCGCCUGGGGAGUACGGCCGCAAGGCUAAAACUCAAAGGAAUUGACGGAAUCGA